This 21-nucleotide microRNA is filed under the name Salmo salar (Atlantic salmon). RNAcentral describes it as "ssa-miR-15b-5p". Its record names the gene ssa-miR-15b-5p. The record is from miRBase by way of RNAcentral. Lineage: Eukaryota; Metazoa; Chordata; Actinopteri; Salmoniformes; Salmonidae. RNAcentral also lists the same sequence under 2 other names.
UAGCAGCACAUCAUGUUUUGC